Molecule: long non-coding RNA, 1697 nt
Filed under: Olea europaea subsp. europaea
Lineage: Eukaryota; Viridiplantae; Streptophyta; Magnoliopsida; Lamiales; Oleaceae
Source: RNAcentral
GUCAUCUUCUCUCUUUUUCUUCCACUUGCAGCUGCGGUUCAAGCCUAGCUGGUUGGCUGCUCCCGACAGCAACUGUAAAUUCCAACGGAGCUAGUACUCGCGGCUAAGCCCUCUUGCUGGGUGUUGGCUCCACCACUGUUUGUGAGUAUUUAGAUGUCAAACUCAUACAUAAAGAAAUCUACAAAUUACAUCAAGAACCAUGCUCAUACAUAAAUCCAUUUGAAUGAAUUGAUUUUUAGAGUUUGUUAAUGAAACCUUAAACAAUUAGAUGAAGGCCUCAUUGUUGCCUCUGCUCAAUGAAUACCCCAAGCGGUGGCUAAGGAAAAAUCAAGACAUAUAUUCAAGAUAGAAUCGAAGAUUCCCAAUCAGCCUUUGUCACUCACAGAUGGAAGCUCGAAGUCAAAGAAAAAAAGACAAAGUGUCUACAAAUCGGGAGGGUAAGAUCUGAUUUCUAUGGAAGAUGGAAAAAUAUGGUAGAAUUUUAUAUUUGAGUAUAGAACCAAUUAGAUGAAAAAAUAUAAUUUAAGAAUACAAAAUACUAUGUGGAGGAAAUCGAAACCAUGAUCAUGUGAUUAAAAGCCACGAGCUCUACCGACCGUGCUAAGAGGUUAUGAUCAACAUAAAGGAUUAUGAACCAUGAAAUUUACCCAUAAUUUAAAAUUCUAAUUUGUAAAUCAAUUUUAAUUUCUAUUUCUAACUUGUCCACCUUACCCCAUUUCUUCUUCAAAUUUAACCCACCACCCAUAUUUCUCUCUUAGAACGUUGUCCUUCUUUCACUCGUUCAAAAAUAGUAGCUCCAACAACUUUCGACGAUCAUUGUCUAAAUAUCAAAAAUCUUGAACUCAAAAUCCAAAAUCUUCGACAGCUAAACAAUAUGUUCCUUCAGCACUCAUCAAAGGAAUCAUCUCCUUUGAUUAGUGGAAUCCCUUUUACGAUCUAGGUGCAUAUUAAAAAAUUGGUGCUUUAUUAUCAAGAGCAAUCAUUUUAUCAAAAUGCAUUUGCUCCAAUCACAUUCUCAUUUAUGGAAACAUGGAAAUGAGAUUUCAUUAUUUAGAUUUGGAUUCACUUCACGAAGCCUAUGUCAUUCAAUUUGUGGUUUGUUCCGUUGUAAUGUGGAAUUUACCUAACGACUUUCUAACUGAAUUCGCUCAUUAUUCAUUGUUAUAUGAUAUAGAGUAUUAUGGGUUGGGUUACAAUUCAGGAAACGUAACUUAGCUGGACAGUGGACAUUCUUUGAGAUUGAAAUUUUAAGCCUAAAAUCAAAUUCUUGAUACAGGGUGCAACGUUUUCCUCAUCCAUUGCCCUUUAGGGCAUUGCAUUCGCUUCUCGAGGAUAUUUCCCAUGUGUAUUCGAACAAAACAUAUAGAGUUAUGGAUUUUAGCAUUGAGAAUGAGAAUCAUUAUGAGUUGACGAUUUGAAUAGAUAUUCCAAUCGUAAAUGUUACAAUGGAGUUGGAUUUUAUAGGAGUAUGUCUUUCUUUAACUGCUGCUAAGGAGUUUCGUGUUGGUAUAUAAAUGAUGAAGAAAUAUGGAGUGGAGGAAUCAGAGACUCAAUUACUAAGGCCAAUAUUAUCCUUUUGCCCUUAUUUAAAAAUUAAUAAUGUGGUCAAAAUUAUUUUGAUCAACUAACUGUCAAUCCUUUCACUUGUCAUUUUGUUACAACAAAAUGAAAGGUUUGAAAUUGUGGGUGGCAUAAAU